Molecule: ribosomal RNA, 510 nt
Filed under: uncultured bacterium
Lineage: Bacteria
Description: bacterial SSU rRNA
Rfam family: Bacterial small subunit ribosomal RNA
Source: RNAcentral
CCCCGCAAGGGGAGCGGCAGACGGGUGAGUAACGCGUGGGAACGUACCUUUUGCUACGGAAUAACUCAGGGAAACUUGUGCUAAUACCGUAUGUGCCCUUCGGGGGAAAGAUUUAUCGGCAAAGGAUCGGCCCGCGUUGGAUUAGCUAGUUGGUGAGGUAAAGGCUCACCAAGGCGACGAUCCAUAGCUGGUCUGAGAGGAUGAUCAGCCACACUGGGACUGAGACACGGCCCAGACUCCUACGGGAGGCAGCAGUGGGGAAUAUUGGACAAUGGGCGCAAGCCUGAUCCAGCCAUGCCGCGUGAGUGAUGAAGGCCCUAGGGUUGUAAAGCUCCUUCACCGGUGAAGAUAAUGACGGUAACCGGAGAAGAAACCCCGGCUAACUUCUUGCCCGCAGCCCCGGUAAUACAAAGGGGGCUAGCGUUGUUCGUAUUUACUGGGCGUAAAGCGCACGUAGGCGGACUUUUAAGUCCGGGGUGAAAUCCCCGGGCUCAACCCCCCGGAACUGCC